UAGGGAAUCUUCGNCAAUGGACGGAAGUCUGACCGAGCAACGCCGCGUGAGUGAAGAAGGUUUUCGGAUCGUAAAGCUCUGUUGUAAGAGAAGAACGAGUGUGAGAGUGGAAAGUUCACACUGUGACGGUAUCUUACCAGAAAGGGACGGCUAACUACGUGCCAGCAGCCGCGGUAAUACGUAGGUCCCGAGCGUUGUCCGGAUUUAUUGGGCGUAAAGCGAGCGCAGGCGGUUAGAUAAGUCUGAAGUUAAAGGCUGUGGCUUAACCAUAGUAGGCUUUGGAAACUGUUUAACUUGAGUGCAAGAGGGGAGAGUGGAAUUCCAUGUGUAGCGGUGAAAUGCGUAGAUAUAUGGAGGAACACCGGUGGCGAAAGCGGCUCUCUGGCUUGUAACUGACGCUGAGGCUCGAAAGCGUGGGGAGCAAACAGGAUUAGAUACCCUGGUAGUCCACGCUGUAAACGAUGAGUGCUAGGUGUUAGACCCUUUCCGGGGUUUAGUGCCGUAGCUAACGCAUUAAGCACUCCGCCUGGGGAGUACGACCGCAAGGUUG
This 550-nucleotide ribosomal RNA is filed under the name uncultured bacterium. RNAcentral describes it as "bacterial SSU rRNA". It matches the Rfam family "Bacterial small subunit ribosomal RNA", at positions 355 to 896 of the family's 1533-position model. The record is from RNAcentral.